GAGCUGGAGCCCGGUGUCCCGGCGACCGGAUCCCGCUUACCCCGCAGCGGCCUGAGACCUGACAUCGACUUCCUCUUAUUCACCGGGGCUGAGGGUGGACGCGGUGGGGGAACACGUCUGGAAUCUUGAGGACAGAGGAAGAAGCCUCCCAAUCCGGAUUAUUGGAGGGGAAAGAGGAACCAAGCUUGGGGAGGGGGAGAGCGGGGCGUUGGGCGCCCCCGCAGCGGCCGCUGUCCUAAGCUGACGGGCAUCGGCCGGCUCUCCCCCUCCUGCCAGCCGGACACGAGCAACCAAGGCCAGGGACUCUGUGCCACUGCAUCCUCGCAUCUUGGCUCUGGGGCUGGCCCAGGGAGGGACACCCCCAACCCCCAUUUCAUUUGCCCUGGGUAGGAAAGACCACUUUAUACACUCCAGAGUGACGGGUCUAGGGCCCAGGGCCCAGGUUACCCGUGCCCACCCCCACCCCCACCCCCACGCCCGACUCUGCUGAGAAGGAAAGGCCUGACAACCUCAACUUCUUUUUUCCAGAGUUUCCAGGUCUCACCACCUAUUGCAGGUCCCACCCCUCCGUAUUUAUUUCCCUGGCUUCUGGCCAGCCCUCUAUCUCUGUCUCCGGGUUUCAGGCCUCCCUCCUUGACAUGGAGAGUAACCUGUCUGGUCUGGUGCCUGCAGCUGGGCUGGUACCUGCACUGCCGCCUACAGUGACCCUGGGGCUGACCGCUGCCUACACUGCCCUAUAUGCUCUGCUCUUCUUCUCUGUCUAUGCCCAGCUCUGGCUGGUGCUUCUGUAUGGGCACAAGCGCCUCAGCUAUCAGACAGUAUUCCUGGCGCUCUGUCUGCUCUGGGCAGCCUUGCGUACCACACUUUUCUCCUUCUACUUCCGAGAUACUCCCAGGGCCAACCGCCUGGGGCCCUUGCCUUUUUGGCUUCUCUAUUGCUGCCCUGUCUGCCUGCAGUUCUUCACACUGACGCUUAUGAACCUCUACUUUGUGCAGGUAACCACGGGAACCGGUGUGGUGGGAGUAGGAGGGCAAUCUCAAUGGUCCAAAGGAGUGAUGGGGUAUCUCUGCUCCCAGGUGGUGUUCAAGGCCAAGGCGAAGCGUCGGCCAGAGAUGAGCCGAGGCUUGCUGGCUGUCCGAGGGGCCUUCGUGGGUGCUUCACUGCUCUUUUUGCUGGUGAAUGUACUGUGUGCAGUGCUGUCUCGCCAGCGCCAGGCACAGCCCUGGGUCCUUCUGCUGGUACGUGUCCUGGUGAGCGACUCUCUCUUCGUCAUCUGUGCCCUCUCGCUUGCUGCCUGCCUCUGCCUUGUGGCCCGUCGAGCCCCUUCCACCAGCAUCUACUUAGAGGCCAAGGGGACCAGCGUGUGUCAGGCAGCUGCUAUAGGGGGUGCCAUGGUCCUUCUCUAUGCCAGCCGGGCCUGUUACAACCUGGCAGCUCUGGCCUUGGCCCCUCGGAGCCGGCUAGAUGCCUUCGAUUACGACUGGUACAACGUAUCUGACCAGAUCUGGUGAAUGACCUAGGGAACAAAGGCUACCUGGUGUUUGGUCUCAUCCUCUUCGUUUGGGAACUGCUGCCCACCACAUUGCUGGUGGGCUUCUUCCGGGUACACCGGCCCCCACAGGAUCUGAGCACCAGUCGAAUCCUCAAUGGGCAGGUUUUUGGCUCCCGAUCCUACUUCUUUGACCGGGCUGGCCACUGUGAGGAUGAGGGCUGCUCCUGGGAGCAUAGCCGGAGUGAGAGCACCAGCAUGUCCGGCAGCCUGGGCUCUGGCAGUUGGUAUGGUGCCAUCGGACGUGAGCCAGGCUGGGGAGGGGCCAGCCAGACGAGGACCACUCCUCUGCUCUUCUCCCAGGUGCCAGGACCUGGUAGUCACCACCACAGCCUCUAUUCUACACCACAGACGUGAUCUGCUUUUACUCCCCUUAGAAUACCCAGGCCCCAGCUCCCCUGAUCCCUGGCCCCUGUGCCAAGUACGUCUGCUGCUUCUUGCCCAGGUUGCCAGGAGACUGUGGCUGCUUCUCUCCUCUGGCCGGCUCCUUGCCGCUCCUAUUGUAGUGAGCUUGUGCCAUCCCCCUAAAAUGGAAACAAGGCCCCAGGAUACCAGAUGCCCACAGUGCCCUGGCAUGACCUGCCACCUCUGCUUCCACACUGGAGCCGGCUACCUCUCCUGUGCCUACCACUCAAUAAACAGAGGCUGUGCCCUGUC
Mus musculus (house mouse) is the source of this 2206-nucleotide RNA transcript. It is a transcript of the gene named G protein-coupled receptor 137, with no coding region annotated. The record is from RefSeq and is marked validated. The transcript is spliced from 6 exons. NCBI's taxonomy places the organism in Eukaryota, Metazoa, Chordata, Mammalia, Rodentia, Muridae.